GAGUUUGAUCCUGGCUCAGGACGAACGCUGGCGGCGUGCUUAACACAUGCAAGUCGAACGGGGUUUAGUCGAAAGAUUACUUUUAACUAAACCUAGUGGCGGACGGGUGAGUAACGCGUGGAUAACCUGCCCACUAGACUGGGAUAACGCCGGGAAACCGGUGCUAAUACCGGAUACGUUCACCGGAUUGCAUAAUCUGGUGAAGAAAGGUGCAAACCGCUAAUGGAUGGGUCCGCGUCCCAUUAGCUAGUUGGUAGGGUAACGGCCUACCAAGGCCACGAUGGGUAGCCGGCCUGAGAGGGCGACCGGCCACACUGGAACUGAGACACGGUCCAGACUCCUACGGGAGGCAGCAGUGGGGAAUCUUCCGCAAUGGGCGCAAGCCUGACGGAGCAACGCCGCGUGAGUGACGAAGGUCUUCGGAUUGUAAAACUCUGUCCAUAGGGAAGAACCAACUGACGGUACCUUUGGAGGAAGCCCCGGCUAACUACGUGCCAGCAGCCGCGGUAACACGUAGGGGGCGAGCGUUGUCCGGAAUUACUGGGCGUAAAGGGCGUGUAGGCGGCCAAGUAAGUCAGUCGUGAAACCCAGCGGCUUAACCGCUGGCUUGCGAUAGAAACUGCCUGGCUUGAGUGCAGUAGAGGGGAGUGGAAUUCCCAGUGUAGCGGUGAAAUGCGUAGAUAUUGGGAGGAACACCAGUGGCGAAAGCGGCUCCCUGGCCUGCAACUGACGCUGAGGCGCGAAAGCGUGGGUAGCAAACAGGAUUAGAUACCCUGGUAGUCCACGCCGUAAACGAUGGGUGCUAGGUGUUGGGGGUAUCGACCCCCCCAGUGCCGCAGUUAACGCAUUAAGCACCCCGCCUGG
RNAcentral lists this ribosomal RNA (864 nucleotides) under bacterium enrichment culture clone 080214-ABM-MX80 9-86. RNAcentral's name for it is "bacterial SSU rRNA". It matches the Rfam family "Bacterial small subunit ribosomal RNA", at positions 9 to 873 of the family's 1533-position model. The record is from RNAcentral.